CCUCUCUCAUCUCUUCUCCUCUCCUCCAAGGUGCCUCCGUUUCCUCCACUCCUCAGCUCUCCACCCUUCCUCUCUCUCUUCUCUUCUCCUCCAGGGGCCUCUGUUUCUUCCUCUGCUCACUGUGUCCGAACCAUUGCAGUCUUCUCACUACAACAGAAUAAAUUAGAGAGAAAACAACAUUAAAAUCUACUACACAGACAGACACUUAGUAAACAGAAAAGCUUAGAGGAAACAACAUUAGAGAGUGACAAAGCUGCCCUACAGUAUUAGUUUCUGUACGUAAAGUUUCUAGACGUAAUAUUCUGCCGUUGGUGGAAUUUCUGGCUACGAUUCAUUGCCGAGAGAGCUGGGAUGUUAGUGUUCAGUGACUUGCUUCCUGGAGAACAGAAUGCCUUGCUGAAAUAGUGACAGCUGCCCUACAGGAUUAGUUUCAGUAGUUUUCCUCACCCCUGUGCUGUCCCAAUCCCUUCUGCAAGAGUUAACCAGCAUCUUCAUUCACUCACCCCUGUGCUGUCCCAAUCCCUUCUGCAAGAGUUAACCAGCAUCUUCAUUCACUCACCCCUGUGCUGUCCCAAUCCCUUCUGCAAGAGUUAACCAGCAUCUUCAUUCACUCACCCCUGUACUGUCCCAAUCCCUUCUGCAAGAGUUAACCAGCAUCUUCAUUCUUUCAUUCCCAUAUAAUAUACUGUCAAGGGAGAUAUAAUGGCACAAACAGUAUUCAAAUAUUUAUGGAUACGAAACAAAUAUUACCAAAACUAAAUACAUACUUUUAUAUAAGGUAAUAUUUCAACUUGUAUCAAUAUUACUAAUUCUUAAGACACUGUUUAUGUAAGGAGAAACUAAUGUAUGUGUCCUGGAUAUUAUUAUUAGUUGUUAAGGCAUUUAUACAAGGAGGAAUUACUGGAGAAAUUACUGUACAUGUUCUGCCUAGGCUUAAGAGUUCCAUGUGAAGAGUAUUUUGAGGAGUGAAGAAAGAUAUUUGUGGUAAUGUGACUUGUUUGUAAUGUUGCUGAGGUGUUGAUGGUAAAGACUAAACCAUUAUUUUUAUAGAGACAGAAAUUGAAUGUGUGUGUGUGUGUGUGUGUGUGUGUGUGUGUGUGUGUGUGUGUGUGUGUGAGUGAGUGAGUGAGGAUUGUCGUAAAACAUUGUCAUUGGUUAACUUUGUAUAUGAACUGUGAAGGCUGAAUGUUGAAAUAGAUCUGAAUGCAUUAUAUACUGGAGAAAUUACUGUAUGUGUUCUGCCUGGGUAAAGAGUUCCAUGUGAAGAGUAUUUUGAGGAGUGAAGAAAGAUGUUUGUGGUAAUGUGACUUGUUUGUAAUGUUGCUGAGGUGUUUAUGGUAAAGAUUAAACCAUUAUUUUUAUAGAGACAGAAAUUGAAUGUGUGUGUGAGUGUGUGUGUGUGUGUCUGUGUGUGAGUGAGUGAGGAUUCUCUUAAAACAUUGUCAUUAGUUAACUCUGUAUAUGAACUGUGAAGGGUGAAUGUUGAAAUAGAUCUGAAUGCAUUAUAUACUGGAGAAAUUACUGUAUGUGUUAUGCCUGGGUAAAGAGUUCCAUGAGGAGUGAGGAAAGAUAUUUGUUGUAAUGUGACUUGUUUGUAAUGUUGCUGAGGUGUUUAUGGUAAAGACUAAACCAUUAUUUUUAUAGAGACAGAAUUUGAAUGUGUGUGUGUGUGUGUGUGUGUGUGUGUGUGUGUGAGGAUUCUCUUAAAACAUUGUCAUUAUUUGUCUUUGUAUAUGAACACAUUCUCAAACCUUUUAUAAUUUCUCAUGAUAUCAGUAUAAUGUAAGUAUUGUAUUAAGUAUCUCCUCAAAUUGUUCUCAAGUAUUAUGAUAAAUUUUGAAGCUGUACAAGGAGAGAGAGAGAAAGUUUACCUGGCCCUAAGACCUUCAAGGGAGAGUGUGUGUUAUAGUCUGUUCACUUAAGUCCGAGCCAAGCUGACAACAUAAACCUAAGCGUGUUUGCAAGCUGAGUGCUGAUUGGCUGCUGCUGUGGCUUCCAAGUUUUCUUUAACCCGGUAGCUGCAGGGAUCAUGUUUCUUAAAGGCCCCUCUAAGCGAAUUAAUGAGAAAAAAUCAUCACUCAUGCAAACCAUUUCAUAAUAUAUAUAAAAGCAUUUGUGAUCAGUUUAUGCAUCAUCUAUUUUGGGGGGUUUUAUAUCAUGCAUGGCAAAAAUUUGGCCCGUCGCUGGUACACGGUAAAGCCACAAAUUUGGCCCGUCACUGGUACCGGGUUAACCUCUGUUUGUGUUUAUCUCACGCAGCACUUUCUGCACUGUGCUUACAAACAUGCUUAGCUUUACGUUGUCAGCUUGGGGCAGACUUAAGUGAACAGACUAUAGACAGUUCCAGCAGUUACAAAUGACAGGGGCCACGUGGUAUCUACAGCGCUGAGAGAGAGUUAGGAAUGGUUAUGAUAGUUGUGAUGGUUUGGUCAUGUUACCGCUCUGACGGUGAUAUAUAUAUAUAUUUGUAUACAUAGAGCAAGAAAAAUAAAAAAUGAAUGUGAUAAUGAA
Eriocheir sinensis (Chinese mitten crab) is the source of this 2511-nucleotide long non-coding RNA. RefSeq lists it as uncharacterized. NCBI's taxonomy places the organism in Eukaryota, Metazoa, Arthropoda, Malacostraca, Decapoda, Varunidae. The record is from RefSeq and is a predicted model, not a curated record. The transcript is spliced from 2 exons.